AGAGUUUGAUCCUGGCUCAGGAUGAACGCUGGCGGCGUGCCKAAUACAUGCAAGUCGAGCGAACGGACGAGAAGCUUGCUUCUCUGAUGUUAGCGGCGGACGGGUGAGUAACACGUGGAUAACCUACCUAUAAGACUGGGAUAACUUCGGGAAACCGGAGCWAAUACCGGAUAAUAUUUUGAACCGCAUGGUUCAAAAGUGAAAGACGGUCUUGCUGUCACUUAUAGAUGGAUCCGCGCUGCAUUAGCUAGUUGGUAAGGUAACGGCUUACCAAGGCAACGAURCRUAGCCGACCUGAGAGGGUGAUCGGCCACACUGGAACUGAGACACGGUCCAGACUCCUACGGGAGGCAGCAGUAGGGAAUCUUCCGCAAUGGGCGAAAGCCUGACGGAGCAACGCCGCGUGAGUGAUGAAGGUCUUCGGAUCGUAAAACUCUGUUAUUAGGGAAGAACAWAUGUGUAAGUAACUGUGCACRUCUUGACGGUACCUAAUCAGAAAGCCACGGCUAACUACGUGCCAGCAGCCGCGGUAAUACGUAGGUGGCAAGCGUUAUCCGGAAUUAUUGGGCGUAAAGCGCGCGUAGGCGGUUUUUUAAGUCUGAUGUGAAAGCCCACGGCUCAACCGUGGAGGGUCAUUGGAAACUGGAAAACUUGAGUGCAGAAGAGGAAAGUGGAAUUCCAUGUGUAGCGGUGAAAUGCGCAGAGAUAUGGAGGAACACCAGUGGCGAAGGCGACUUUCUGGUCUGUAACUGACGCUGAUGUGCGAAAGCGUGGGGAUCAAACAGGAUUAGAUACCCUGGUAGUCCACGCCGUAAACGAUGAGUGCUAAGUGUUAGGGGGUUUCCGCCCCUUAGUGCUGCAGCUAACGCAUUAAGCACUCCGCCUGGGGAGUACGACCGCAAGGUUGAAACUCAAAGGAAUUGACGGGGACCCGCWCAAGCGGUGGAGCAUGUGGUUUAAUYCGAAGCAACGCGAAGAACCUUACCAARUCUUGACAUCCUUUGACAACUCUAGASAUAGAGCCUUCCCCUUCGGGGGACAAAGUGACAGGUGGUGCMUGGUUGUCGUCAGCUCGUGUCGUGAGAUGUUGGGUUAAGUCCCGCAACGAGCGCAACCCUUAAGCUUAGUUGCCAUCAUUAAGUUGGGCACUCUAAGUUGACUGCCGGUGACAAACCGGAGGAAGGUGGGGAUGACGGCAAAUCAUCAUGCCCCUUAUGAUUUGGGCUACACACGUGCUACAAUGGACAAUACAAAGGGCAGCGAAACCGCGAGGUCAAGCAAAUCCCAUAAAGUU
This 1294-nucleotide ribosomal RNA is filed under the name Enterobacter sp. IF2SW-B1. Its description in RNAcentral is "bacterial SSU rRNA". The record is from RNAcentral. Lineage: Bacteria; Pseudomonadati; Pseudomonadota; Gammaproteobacteria; Enterobacterales; Enterobacteriaceae.